AGUAUUCAUAAAAUAAAACAUUUGCUCAAUGAAAUCUGUGCUCAAGUGAUCAUAAAGUGCCCACUUGCUGGUUUGAUUCGAAUUUACAUGAAUAAUUGAAUUAAUUGUUUAUGUGGUAUAUUGUUCAUGGUCACCUUUUUUUUUUUUUUUUUUUAAAUGUAAUGCUUGUAUGAAAUAAACAAAUUCCUCUAGAAUAUAGGCUAUUCGAUGUUAUUUGAUGAAUGUGAUAGAGAAAAAGAUGGAACUUGGUAGGCCAAAUGAAGUGUGAGGUGAUGACGGCACGAGAGCACAGAAUGACAAACAUUGUUAAGGUGUGCUGACGGUCUGAAGCGCUCGUGAGAGCUGCGGAGUUUGUUGGACGGAGAGCAGAGGAGGAGGAGGAGGAGGAUGAGGAGGAGGAGGAGGAGGAGAGGCUGCCGUGUAGAGGAGAAGAAAAAGCGGAAUCAAAACCUGCAGCGCACCGGUGUCACGUCUCAUUUUAGAACCGUGCUCAUCAAAUACUUCAUCACUGGCCCGCUCGGUUUCACAGCAGACUCUGGUUGACCUCAUCGGGUGACCUUAACCAAUCACAGAUCAAAGUCAUCAGGUUCCUGGCUGCUCGGGUUAAUCAGAGGACCACCCCGAAGAGCCAAUCAGAUAGAUCGUUUGUCUCGGCCGUGGGCAGCACGGAGCAGUGAAGCUGAUGUGUCUGCCUCUGGCCUUCGCCUCAUGUGACUGCCUCCUGUCCUGCCUGACACGUUAGCAUGCAGCCAGCCUAUCAGUCACUCAGGCGGCUCUAGCUGCUGGUGCUUGUGGCUCUGGAGGUGAUGAUACAUGACAAUCAUUUAAAGGUAACAAAGCUUAGCUAUUCUGCAUUAUUAAAGCCAGCGAUAUUAGAAGGGAUUAAGUUUCAGCAGGUCUAAGUGAUUUUCAUGAAGUUACUUGUAUCAUUUAUCAAAUUAAACGUGGAAUUUGCCAUUACUUUUAAAACGUUUUAUAACACUGUUGCUGUAUCAUCUUUAUUUUUUCAUUAAAAUGG
Long non-coding RNA from Labrus mixtus (cuckoo wrasse), 1018 nucleotides. RefSeq lists it as uncharacterized. The transcript has 3 exons. Lineage: Eukaryota; Metazoa; Chordata; Actinopteri; Labriformes; Labridae. The record is from RefSeq and is a predicted model, not a curated record.